This 252-nucleotide ribosomal RNA is filed under the name uncultured bacterium. RNAcentral's name for it is "partial 16S ribosomal RNA". It matches the Rfam family "Bacterial small subunit ribosomal RNA", at positions 524 to 776 of the family's 1533-position model. The record is from RNAcentral.
UACGAAGGGUGCAAGCGUUACUCGGAAUUACUGGGCGUAAAGCGUGCGUAGGUGGUUUGUUAAGUCUGAUGUGAAAGCCCUGGGCUCAACCUGGGAAUUGCAUUGGAUGCUGGCAGGCUAGAGUGCGGUAGAGGAUGGCGGAAUUCCCGGUGUAGCAGUGAAAUGCGUAGAGAUCGGGAGGAACACCAGUGGCGAAGGCGACUACCUGCCUGUUCUUGACGCUGAGGCGCGAAAGCUAGGGGAGCAAACGGG